UUUAAUUAAGAGUUUGAUCCUGGCUCAGGAUGAACGCUGGCGGCGUGCCUAACACAUGCAAGUCGAGCGAGAAGCUCGUGACAGACGCUUCGGUUGAAGUCACGAGUGGAAAGCGGCGGACG
RNAcentral lists this ribosomal RNA (122 nucleotides) under Lentihominibacter faecis. Its description in RNAcentral is "partial 16S ribosomal RNA". It matches the Rfam family "Bacterial small subunit ribosomal RNA", at positions 1 to 104 of the family's 1533-position model. Lineage: Bacteria; Bacillati; Bacillota; Clostridia; Peptostreptococcales; Anaerovoracaceae. The record is from RNAcentral.